AAUGAAGCUACCAAGGGCAUACGGUGGAUGCCUUGGCACAGGCAGGCGAUGAAGGACGUGGUAAGCUGCGAUAAGCUCCGGUGAGGUGCAAGCAACCUUUGACCCGGAGAUCUCCGAAUGGGAAAACCCACCUGGAAUAAAAGACCAGGUAUCUCCUUACUGAACACAUAGGUUUGGAGAGGCUAACCCGGGGAACUGAAACAUCUUAGUACCCGGAGGAAGAGAAAGCGAAAGCGAUUCCCUGAGUAGAGGCGAUCGAAACGGGAAGAGUCUAAACCGAGCGGUGCGUGAUAGCUGCGCAAGCGUUGCACCGCCGGGGUAGAGGGAAGUGUCCGGAGGAUGCGUCACCUCGGAUCGAAAAGCAUGCUAGCAGAAGCUUCUGGAAAGUUGCUCCAAAGAGGGUGAAAGGCCCGUACGCGAAAGCAUGCUCUGGAUCUGGGACACUCUCCCAAGUAGCACGGGGCACGUGAAAUCCUGUGUGAAUCCGGGCGGACCACCGCCUAAGACUAAACACUCGCCUGUGACCGAUAGUGAACUAGUACCGUGAGGGAAAGGUGAAAAGCACCCCUGGCGGGGAGUGAAAUAGUACCUGAAACCGUGUGCCUACAAGCAGUCGGAGCAGACUUGUUCUGUGACGGCGUGCCUUUUGCAUAAUGAGCCGGGGAGUUGCUCGUACGUAGCGAGGUUAAGGCCGGGAGGCCGGAGCCGCAGGGAAACCGAGUCUGAACAGGGCGAUUCAGUUGCGUACGGCAGACCCGAAGCCAGGUGAUCUAUCCAUGGCCAGGCUGAAACUUGGGUAAAACCAAGCGGAGGGCCGAACCCACUAACGUUGAAAAGUUAGGGGAUGAGCUGUGGAUAGGGGUGAAAGGCCAAACAAACCUGGAGAUAGCUGGUUCUCCUCGAAAUAGCUCUAGGGCUAGCGUCGAUGCAGUGUUCCGGAGGUAGAGCACUGGAUGGGUUAAGGGGCCUACAAGCUUACUGACCCCAACCAAACUCCGAAUGCCGGAACAUGGUCUACGGCAGUCAGGCCGCGGGGGCUAAGCUCCACGGCCGAGAGGGAAACAACCCAGACCGCCGGCUAAGGUCCCCAAGCAUACGUUAAGUGUAUCUAAGGAAGUGGAGUUGCUUAGACAACUGGGAUGUUGGCUUAGAAGCAGCCAUUCAUUUAAAGAGUGCGUAACAGCUCACCAGUCAAUGCGAUUCUGCGCCGAUAAUAAUCGGGGCUCAAACGUAUCACCGAAGCCGCGGACUGUCGCCUUGAGCGACAGUGGUAGAGGAGCGUUCCGUAUGCGCUGAAGGUGUCCUGUGAGGGAUGCUGGAGUGUACGGAAGUGAUCAUCCCGGCAUGAGUAGCGAUAAUGCAGGUGAGAAACCUGCACACCGAAAGCCUAAGGUUUCCUGGGCAAGGCUGAUCCUCCCAGGGUAAGUCGGGUCCUAAGCACAGGCCGAAAGGCGUAAGCGAUGGGAAGCAGGUGAAUAUUCCUGCACCAUUGUGUGUGCGUUCGAGCGAUGGGGUGACGCGGAAGGUAGGGCCAUCCGGGUGAUGGAUGUCCCGGUUUGCACCUGUAGGAGGGAGCGGCAGGCAAAUCCACCGCUCCAACUCCGAGGGGUGUGACGAGAGCUUCGGCUCGCAAAGUGGUCGUGUCCAUGCCGCCGAGAAAAACCUCUAAGCGAGUACACAUAAUGUCCGUACCGCAAACCGACACAGGUAGGCGAGGAGAGGAUCCUCAGGUGUUCGAGCUAACCCGGGUUAAGGAACUAGGCAAAAUGGUCCCGUAACUUAGGGAUAAGGGACGCCCGGUCUGGUGACGGUGUACAACCUGAGCCGGGCUGGGCCGCAGAGAAAUGGCCUGGGCGACUGUUUACUAAAAACACACGUCUCUGCCAAGUCGUAAGACGACGUAUAGGGACUGACACCUGCCCGGUGCUGGAGCGUUAAGGGGAGAGGUCAGAAUACGCCUAACCGUGUAUUCGAAGCUUUGAACCGAAGCCCCAGUAAACGGCGGCCGUAACUAUAACGGUCCUAAGGUAGCGAAAUUCCUUGUCGGGUAAGUUCCGACCCGCACGAAUGGUGUAACGAUUUGGGCACUGUCUCAACCCGGGGCUCGGCGAAAUUGCAGUAGCGGUGAAGAUACCGUUUUCCCGUGGAAGGACAGUAAGACCCCGUGGACCUUUACUGCAGCUUGAUAUUGGGUUCCGCCGUGGCGUGUGUAGGAUAGGCGGGAGACUUUGAAGCCUGGUCGCCAGAUCAGGUGGAGUCAACGUUGAAAUACCGUCCUCGUUUCGUUGGAACUCUAACACGGGUCCGUGAUCCGGAUCGUGGACAGUGUCUGGUGGGCAGUUUGACUGGGGUGGUCGCCUCCCAAAAAGUAACGGAGGCGCCCAAAGGUUCCCUCAGCGCGGUCGGUAAUCGCGCGUCGAGUGCAAAGGCACAAGGGAGCUUGACUGCGAGACGGACAGGUCGAGCAGGUACGAAAGUAGGGCUUAGUGAUCCUGCGGUCCCGAGUGGAAGGGCCGUGGCUCAACGGAUAAAAGGUACCCCGGGGAUAACAGGCUGAUCGCCACCGAGAGUUCACAUCGACGUGGCGGUUUGGCACCUCGAUGUCGGCUCAAUGCAUCCUGGGGCUGAACAAGGUCCCAAGGGUUCGGCUGUUCGCCGAUUAAAGCGUUACGCGAGCUGGGUUUAGAACGUCGUGAGACAGUUCGGUCCCUAUCCUCCACGGGUGUAGGAAGCUUGAGGGGAUCUGUCUUCAGUACGAGAGGACCGAGACGGACGCACCUCUAGUGUACCAGUUGUCCCGCCAGGGGCACCGCUGGGUAGCUACGUGCGGACCAGGAUAAGCGCUGAAAGCAUCUAAGUGCGAAACCGGCCCCAAAACUAGGCUUCCCGACCGAAAGGUCCUCAAGGCCACUCGGAGAUUACGAGUUUGAUAGGCCGCAGGUGUAAGCACAGUAAUGUGUUCAGCCGAGCGGUACUAAUCGGCCGUGCGGCUUCAUUAC
This 2999-nucleotide ribosomal RNA is filed under the name Candidatus Fermentibacter sp. RNAcentral's name for it is "23S ribosomal RNA". It matches the Rfam family "Bacterial large subunit ribosomal RNA". Lineage: Bacteria; Pseudomonadati; Candidatus Fermentibacterota; Candidatus Fermentibacteria; Candidatus Fermentibacterales; Candidatus Fermentibacteraceae. The record is from RNAcentral.